UAAUACGUAGGUGUCGAGCGUUGUCCGGAUUUAUUGGGCGUAAAGAGCCCGCAGGCGGCUUGGUAAGUUCGAGGUGAAAUCUCCCGGCUCAACUGGGAGGGUGCCUCGAAAACUAUCAGGCUUGAGGCAGGGAGAGGGAUGUGGAAUUCCCGGUGUAGUGGUGAAAUGCGUAGAUAUCGGGAGGAACACCAGUGGCGAAGGCGGCAUCCUGGCCCUGUCCUGACGCUCAGGGGCGAAAGCGUGGGGAGCAAACCGG
Molecule: ribosomal RNA, 256 nt
Filed under: uncultured bacterium
Lineage: Bacteria
Also listed under: 1 other name
Description: partial 16S ribosomal RNA
Rfam family: Bacterial small subunit ribosomal RNA
Source: RNAcentral